RNAcentral lists this ribosomal RNA (406 nucleotides) under uncultured bacterium. RNAcentral describes it as "partial 16S ribosomal RNA". It matches the Rfam family "Bacterial small subunit ribosomal RNA", at positions 30 to 526 of the family's 1533-position model. The record is from RNAcentral.
AUUGAACGCUGGCGGCAGGCUUAACACAUGCAAGUCGAACGAGUGGCGGACGGGUGAGUAAUGCUUGGGAAUCUAGCUUAUGGAGGGGGAUAACUACGGGAAACUGUAGCUAAUACCGCGUAACAUAGGAUGAGCCCAUAUUGGAUUAGCUAGUAGGUGGGGUAAAGGCUCACCUGGGAGACGAUCUCUAACUGGUCUGAGAGGAUGGUCACCAACACUGGGACGGAGACACGGCCCAGACUCCUACGGGAGGCAGCAGUGGGGAAUAUUGCACAAUGGGCGCAAGCCUGAUGCAGCCAUGCCGCGUGUAUGAAGAAGGCCUUAGGGUUGUAAAGUACUUUCAGCGGGGAGGCGUUACCCGCAGAAGAAGCACCGGCUAACUCCGUGCCAGCAGCCGCGGUAAUUC